GAUCCUGGCUCAGGAUGAACGCUAGCUACAGGCUUAACACAUGCAAGUCGAGGGGAAACGACAUCGAAAGCUUGCUUCCGGUGGGCGUCGACCGGCGCACGGGUGAGUAACGCGUAUCCAACCUGCCCACCACUUGGGGAUAACCUUGCGAAAGUAAGACUAAUACCCAAUGAUAUCUCUAGAAGACAUCUGAGAGAGAUUAAAGAUUUAUCGGUGAUGGAUGGGGAUGCGUCUGAUUAG
This 240-nucleotide ribosomal RNA is filed under the name uncultured bacterium. RNAcentral's name for it is "partial 16S ribosomal RNA". It matches the Rfam family "Bacterial small subunit ribosomal RNA", at positions 15 to 244 of the family's 1533-position model. The record is from RNAcentral.